GUGCGAGACCGAUAGCGAACAAGUACCGUGAGGAAAAGAUGAAAAGAACUUUGAAAAGAGAGUUAAAGAGUACCUGAAACUGCUGAAAGGGAAGCGAAUCGUAUCCAGUGUCUAUAAUCUGCGGCAUAUUUCAUUGGCGGCAGUGUGCGUGCUUUUGCGUCGGAAGCGGCUUUUGUUGCUCUGUGCUUUUGCUGUGCGUGCCGUUGCUGGUGCCCUGUGUUGCGGUGGGACGUCAGAGUCAGUUCGCAUGCUGCGGGAAAUGGCCGCCGAGGAGGUAGGUCAGGACUUCGGUCUUGGCUGUUAUAUCUUGGUGGUAUGUUGUCGUGGUUGGGACUGAGGUGCCUACAAUGUGCUUUUGAGUGUGCCGGGUUUUCAUUUGGUGGACUGUUUGGAUAGCUUGCUAUGCUUGUGGUUUUUUCAUCGAGUGAUUGAGUCUGGUGGUAACUUGUUGCUGUUCGGGACUUUGA
This 467-nucleotide ribosomal RNA is filed under the name uncultured Oomycota. RNAcentral describes it as "LSU rRNA". It matches the Rfam family "Eukaryotic large subunit ribosomal RNA", at positions 326 to 629 of the family's 3401-position model. The record is from RNAcentral. Lineage: Eukaryota; Oomycota.